Molecule: long non-coding RNA, 650 nt
Filed under: Dicentrarchus labrax (European seabass)
Lineage: Eukaryota; Metazoa; Chordata; Actinopteri; Moronidae
Description: lncRNA (ENSDLAG00005027023.1)
Source: RNAcentral
AUUGUUAUCAUUAUGUUUGUCUGGAAAUCAGCAGAAUGGGGGUGUUGAUUUCCAGCGGGUGGGUUUUCCUUUGUCCCUUUUUUUUUUUUUUUUUUUUGUUCUAACCCAGAUUUUCAUGUUUAACAGGCCCACAGCUGAUCCAUCCCCCAGUACACAAUUGAGACAGAGGAGGUUAAAGCACUCUGAACGCAUGGGACCAUAUUGCAGGUCAGAGAAGAAAGCGAGAAUGAAGUUCUGUUUAAAGAAGGUGAUAACAAACGUCCAAGCUAAAAAUGCUUGAAUGCUACAAAUGUCUAAAGAAGGCAAUAAAGGUAUUUGUGCCUGUGGCAGGGUCUUGGUCUUUUGUUCUCCUCCUGCUCCUCCUCUGCAUCACAAGACGACCCGCAUGCACACGAGCUUCAGACAGUGAGGUCACUUCCCUCUGCACCUCCACCACUGCUCUUGCAUUCCAACAUGGCUCUAGGACAGCAGCCCAGCAAAGCUCUAUACUCCUCAAAUCACAAAGAGGCCCAGAUCAGAGCCGAGCUGGACGUGAGCCAGGAUCCAGGCCUUCACAGCCCAGGCAGCUGGGGGCAGCCUAUAAUAAGUGGGAGACAAUGAGAACUAGCACACCUCCCACGCUUUGCAUGUGGAUGUCGAUCCAGAAUUGA